AACGAACGCUGGCGGCAGGCUUAACACAUGCAAGUCGAACGCAUCCUUCGGGGUGAGUGGCAGACGGGUGAGUAACGCGUGGGAACGUGCCCUUCAGUUCGGGAUAGCCCAGGGAAACUUGGGCUAAUACCGGAUACGUGCGAGAGCAGAAAGAUUUAUCGCUGAAGGAUCGGCCCGCGUCUGAUUAGCUAGUUGGUGAGGUAAUGGCUCACCAAGGCGACGAUCAGUAGCUGGUCUGAGAGGAUGAUCAGCCACACUGGGACUGAGACACGGCCCAGACUCCUACGGGAGGCAGCAGUGGGGAAUAUUGGACAAUGGGCGCAAGCCUGAUCCAGCCAUGCCGCGUGAGUGACGAAGGCCUUAGGGUUGUAAAGCUCUUUCGGCGGGGACGAUAAUGACGGUACCCGCAGAAGAAGCCCCGGCUAACUUCGUGCCAGCCGCCGCAGUAA
This 449-nucleotide ribosomal RNA is filed under the name uncultured bacterium. RNAcentral describes it as "partial 16S ribosomal RNA". It matches the Rfam family "Bacterial small subunit ribosomal RNA", at positions 29 to 523 of the family's 1533-position model. The record is from RNAcentral.